Molecule: transfer RNA, 76 nt
Filed under: Acholeplasma sp.
Lineage: Bacteria; Bacillati; Mycoplasmatota; Mollicutes; Acholeplasmatales; Acholeplasmataceae
Also listed under: 1 other name
Description: tRNA-Glu
Rfam family: tRNA
About the family: Transfer RNA (tRNA) molecules are approximately 80 nucleotides in length. Their secondary structure includes four short double-helical elements and three loops (D, anti-codon, and T loops).
Source: RNAcentral
GGCCCGUUGGAGAAGCGGUUAACUCACAAGCCUUUCACGCUUGCAUUCGCGGGUUCGAAUCCCGCACGGGUCACCA